UUUUUUCUUUUAAAGAAAAAAAAAAGUACUAACUGUUUCGUUUAUUUUAUUUGAAAAUAAAUUUAGCUGAAAAUAUGAAUCAACUAGAAUUCGAACUUGGAAUCUCGGGUACCAACCACCAAGCCCUUUGGCACUUGCUCUAGAGACGGUCGGUGCUUUCUCAACUUAUCGCUUUUAAAAACAACCCACUAAAAUUUUUACACUUUACUUUUACUUACGCGAUGUUACUAAUUGAAUUCUCGUUUCAAUUACAUAUCUUGUAUAUAGUUUUG
This 272-nucleotide long non-coding RNA is filed under the name Ananas comosus (pineapple). Its description in RNAcentral is "long non-coding RNA (ACOM_LNC000174)". Lineage: Eukaryota; Viridiplantae; Streptophyta; Magnoliopsida; Poales; Bromeliaceae. The record is from RNAcentral.